Molecule: non-coding RNA, 30 nt
Filed under: Homo sapiens (human)
Lineage: Eukaryota; Metazoa; Chordata; Mammalia; Primates; Hominidae
Source: RNAcentral
UGCAGUAGGCUCAGAGAGGUGAUGACGGCA